Molecule: ribosomal RNA, 870 nt
Filed under: Triticum aestivum (bread wheat)
Lineage: Eukaryota; Viridiplantae; Streptophyta; Magnoliopsida; Poales; Poaceae
Description: partial small subunit ribosomal RNA
Source: RNAcentral
AUGGUGGUUGGACCACUAGUCAAAAUCGUGAUGGAGAAGGUGUCCAACUACCUCCUCGACCAGUACAAGGUGAUGAAGGGCAUGGAGGAGCAACAUGAGAUUCUGAAGCGCAAACUGCCCGCCAUCCUGGACAUCAUCACCGACGCUGAGCAGGCGGCAACCCACAGAGAAGGCGUAGCAGCCUGGCUCGAGGCCAUCAAGAAGGUGGCCUACCAGGCGAGUGAAGUCUUUGAUGAGUUCAAGUACGAGGCGCUUCGUCGUCAAGCAAAAAAGAAGGGGCACUACAAGGAGCUUGGCUUCCAUGUGGUAAAACUCUUUCCCACACACAACCGUUUCAUAUUCCGUAAAAGGAUGGGGAAAAAGCUCCACAAGAUUGUGCACACCAUCAAGGUCUUGGUGACCGAAAUGAAUGCCUUUGGCUUUAAGUAUCAGCAACAACCACCGGUAUCCAGUCAGUUGCGGCGGAAGGGUCCUGCUAACACUGACCCAAAGGAAAUCAUGGAAAUCAUCAGAAAAUCCAGAGCCAAUGAUAAGAGUGCGAUUGUUAGUAGACUAGUUGGGCAAGCUAAAAAUGCAGAUCUUACAGUUGUUCCCAUCGUUGGAAUGGGGGGACUCGGGAAGACCACGUUAGCGCAACUUGUUUACAAAGAAUCUAUAAUUCAGGAGCAUUUUGGUUUGUUGAUAUGGGUGUGUGCCUCUGAGUGCUAUGAUGUGGAUUCUCUGGCUAAACGUAUAGUUGAAGCAGCUCCUGAGAAGAAGGAUGGUGAAGCAACUGCCAUGUCAAGGAAGACACUACUUGAUAACCUUCAGAAUGUUGUGAGUGGGCAAAAGUACCUCCUUGUAUUGGAUGAUGUCUGGGAACGGCAAGUU